Molecule: ribosomal RNA, 253 nt
Filed under: uncultured bacterium
Lineage: Bacteria
Description: partial 16S ribosomal RNA
Rfam family: Bacterial small subunit ribosomal RNA
Source: RNAcentral
UACGUAGGGGGCUAGCGUUGUCCGGAUUUAUUGGGCGUAAAGAGCGUGUAGGCGGCCAGGUAGGUCUGGUGUGAAAACUCGAGGCUUAACCUCGAGAUGUCAUCGGAAACCAUCUGGCUAGAGUCCGGAAGAGGAGAGUGGAAUUCCUGGUGUAGCGGUGAAAUGCGCAGAUAUUGGGAAGAACAUCAGUGGCGAAAGCGCUCUACUGGACCUUAUCUGACAUUGAGGGACGAAAGCUAGGGGAGCGAAUGGG